RNAcentral lists this ribosomal RNA (2925 nucleotides) under Escherichia coli. Its description in RNAcentral is "23S ribosomal RNA". It matches the Rfam family "Bacterial large subunit ribosomal RNA". The record is from RNAcentral. Lineage: Bacteria; Pseudomonadati; Pseudomonadota; Gammaproteobacteria; Enterobacterales; Enterobacteriaceae.
GGGUUGUGAGGUUAAGCGACUAAGCGUACACGGUGGAUGCCCUGGCAGUCAGAGGCGAUGAAGGACGUGCUAAUCUGCGAUAAGCGUCGGUAAGGUGAUAUGAACCGUUAUAACCGGCGAUUUCCGAAUGGGGAAACCCAGUGUGAUUCGUCACACUAUCAUUAACUGAAUCCAUAGGUUAAUGAGGCGAACCGGGGGAACUGAAACAUCUAAGUACCCCGAGGAAAAGAAAUCAACCGAGAUUCCCCCAGUAGCGGCGAGCGAACGGGGAGCAGCCCAGAGCCUGAAUCAGUGUGUGUGUUAGUGGAAGCGUCUGGAAAGGCGCGCGAUACAGGGUGACAGCCCCGUACACAAAAAUGCACAUGCUGUGAGCUCGAUGAGUAGGGCGGGACACGUGGUAUCCUGUCUGAAUAUGGGGGGACCAUCCUCCAAGGCUAAAUACUCCUGACUGACCGAUAGUGAACCAGUACCGUGAGGGAAAGGCGAAAAGAACCCCGGCGAGGGGAGUGAAAAAGAACCUGAAACCGUGUACGUACAAGCAGUGGGAGCACGCUUAGGCGUGUGACUGCGUACCUUUUGUAUAAUGGGUCAGCGACUUAUAUUCUGUAGCAAGGUUAACCGAAUAGGGGAGCCGAAGGGAAACCGAGUCUUAACUGGGCGUUAAGUUGCAGGGUAUAGACCCGAAACCCGGUGAUCUAGCCAUGGGCAGGUUGAAGGUUGGGUAACACUAACUGGAGGACCGAACCGACUAAUGUUGAAAAAUUAGCGGAUGACUUGUGGCUGGGGGUGAAAGGCCAAUCAAACCGGGAGAUAGCUGGUUCUCCCCGAAAGCUAUUUAGGUAGCGCCUCGUGAAUUCAUCUCCGGGGGUAGAGCACUGUUUCGGCAAGGGGGUCAUCCCGACUUACCAACCCGAUGCAAACUGCGAAUACCGGAGAAUGUUAUCACGGGAGACACACGGCGGGUGCUAACGUCCGUCGUGAAGAGGGAAACAACCCAGACCGCCAGCUAAGGUCCCAAAGUCAUGGUUAAGUGGGAAACGAUGUGGGAAGGCCCAGACAGCCAGGAUGUUGGCUUAGAAGCAGCCAUCAUUUAAAGAAAGCGUAAUAGCUCACUGGUCGAGUCGGCCUGCGCGGAAGAUGUAACGGGGCUAAACCAUGCACCGAAGCUGCGGCAGCGACGCUUAUGCGUUGUUGGGUAGGGGAGCGUUCUGUAAGCCUGUGAAGGUGUGCUGUGAGGCAUGCUGGAGGUAUCAGAAGUGCGAAUGCUGACAUAAGUAACGAUAAAGCGGGUGAAAAGCCCGCUCGCCGGAAGACCAAGGGUUCCUGUCCAACGUUAAUCGGGGCAGGGUGAGUCGACCCCUAAGGCGAGGCCGAAAGGCGUAGUCGAUGGGAAACAGGUUAAUAUUCCUGUACUUGGUGUUACUGCGAAGGGGGGACGGAGAAGGCUAUGUUGGCCGGGCGACGGUUGUCCCGGUUUAAGCGUGUAGGCUGGUUUUCCAGGCAAAUCCGGAAAAUCAAGGCUGAGGCGUGAUGACGAGGCACUACGGUGCUGAAGCAACAAAUGCCCUGCUUCCAGGAAAAGCCUCUAAGCAUCAGGUAACAUCAAAUCGUACCCCAAACCGACACAGGUGGUCAGGUAGAGAAUACCAAGGCGCUUGAGAGAACUCGGGUGAAGGAACUAGGCAAAAUGGUGCCGUAACUUCGGGAGAAGGCACGCUGAUAUGUAGGUGAAGUGAUUUACUCAUGGAGCUGAAAUCAGUCGAAGAUACCAGCUGGCUGCAACUGUUUAUUAAAAACACAGCACUGUGCAAACACGAAAGUGGACGUAUACGGUGUGACGCCUGCCCGGUGCCGGAAGGUUAAUUGAUGGGGUCAGCGCAAGCGAAGCUCUUGAUCGAAGCCCCGGUAAACGGCGGCCGUAACUAUAACGGUCCUAAGGUAGCGAAAUUCCUUGUCGGGUAAGUUCCGACCUGCACGAAUGGCGUAAUGAUGGCCAGGCUGUCUCCACCCGAGACUCAGUGAAAUUGAACUCGCUGUGAAGAUGCAGUGUACCCGCGGCAAGACGGAAAGACCCCGUGAACCUUUACUAUAGCUUGACACUGAACAUUGAGCCUUGAUGUGUAGGAUAGGUGGGAGGCUUUGAAGUGUGGACGCCAGUCUGCAUGGAGCCGACCUUGAAAUACCACCCUUUAAUGUUUGAUGUUCUAACGUUGACCCGUAAUCCGGGUUGCGGACAGUGUCUGGUGGGUAGUUUGACUGGGGCGGUCUCCUCCUAAAGAGUAACGGAGGAGCACGAAGGUUGGCUAAUCCUGGUCGGACAUCAGGAGGUUAGUGCAAUGGCAUAAGCCAGCUUGACUGCGAGCGUGACGGCGCGAGCAGGUGCGAAAGCAGGUCAUAGUGAUCCGGUGGUUCUGAAUGGAAGGGCCAUCGCUCAACGGAUAAAAGGUACUCCGGGGAUAACAGGCUGAUACCGCCCAAGAGUUCAUAUCGACGGCGGUGUUUGGCACCUCGAUGUCGGCUCAUCACAUCCUGGGGCUGAAGUAGGUCCCAAGGGUAUGGCUGUUCGCCAUUUAAAGUGGUACGCGAGCUGGGUUUAGAACGUCGUGAGACAGUUCGGUCCCUAUCUGCCGUGGGCGCUGGAGAACUGAGGGGGGCUGCUCCUAGUACGAGAGGACCGGAGUGGACGCAUCACUGGUGUUCGGGUUGUCAUGCCAAUGGCACUGCCCGGUAGCUAAAUGCGGAAGAGAUAAGUGCUGAAAGCAUCUAAGCACGAAACUUGCCCCGAGAUGAGUUCUCCCUGACUCCUUGAGAGUCCUGAAGGAACGUUGAAGACGACGACGUUGAUAGGCCGGGUGUGUAAGCGCAGCGAUGCGUUGAGCUAACCGGUACUAAUGAACCGUGAGGCUUAACCUUACAACGCCGAAG